Molecule: unclassified non-coding RNA, 2464 nt
Filed under: Amphibalanus amphitrite
Lineage: Eukaryota; Metazoa; Arthropoda; Thecostraca; Balanomorpha; Balanidae
Description: open rectifier potassium channel protein 1-like, transcript variant X2
Source: RNAcentral
ACGGGUUAGUAGGUGUGACUGUGAGCCAGUGAGCGGAUGAGCUCACGGAUGGCCCGCAAGGAAAGCGAAGACGGGUGCCUAAAUCUUGAACCGUAAGGAGACUAGAGUCAAUUUUUCUUUAACCUUGUGUAGUGUCGACCGACGAAGCCACCGGAUCCUGGCGCCUAGUUGUGACGCUGGCCACCAGAUGGCAGUCGGGCGGCGCCCGGAGAUGAGCCGCCGGCACCAAAGCAAUCAUCCAUCCAGAUGCUACCUCCUCUGACGGGGCCGGCCGGCCACCAGUGCCGCCGCCCGCCGGUGACGGGAGGCAGUGUCACGUGCUAGUGUGCCUGCGUCUGGUCACGCUACGCCCGCCGGACGAAACUGCACGGGACUUUGUCGGUAAGGAUGAAGCUGCACGAGUGGGGCCUGCUGCUGCUGGCCUAUGUGCUGCUGCUACUGAUCGGAGCCGCCUCCUUCUACUUCCUGGAGCGGGGACACGAGGAGGCCCAGAGACAGCGGCUGCUGCAGCUGAGGAGCGAGGUUCACAGCGAGCUGAUCAGCGGGGCCAACGAGAGCACGGUAACGCGUCGCCAGGCGCUGCUGCGGCGCAUCUCUGACCAAUGCGGCGCGGACAUAAGCGACACGGGCCGGCCGCCGGCCGUCGUCUGGAACGAGUACAACAGCUUCUUCUUCUGCUUCACGGUCGUCACCACCAUCGGUUUCGGCCACAUAGCUCCCUCCACAACUCUGGGACGUGUGGUAUGCAUCCUGUAUGCUCUGGUUGGCAUACCAUUCAAUGGGAUACUGCUAAAGAAUAUAUCGGAUCUCUUCAGCAACAAGGUGAUCCGCGCCCGUCAGCGGAUCAAGAGCCGGCGCUACCAGACGCGUCUGGAGGUGCUCGUGGACACGCUGUUCUACUUGUUCCCGGCCGUGCUGCUGUUCUUCCUGCUCCCGGCCGGCAUAUUUAUAAUGCUGGAGGACUGGGAUUUUGUGCAAGCUCUCUACUUCAGCUUCAUUACCCUGACCACUAUCGGGUUUGGUGACCUGGUGCCAGGCAAGGCAGGUGGCUCUGAUUACGAGUCCGCCUGGCUGUGGCUGUACAAGAUUGGUCUGGUGGUUUGGAUUGUGUUCGGCCUCGGGUAUCUACUAAUGAUACUGGAGUUCAUAUCACGCGCACUGUAUUCAAAGAAAAUAUUGAGUCUCGAGAAGAAGCUUGUGAAAGGCAUUUCAAGAACAAAACAGACAUUCCAAAAGAAUAUAUCCAAAGAAGUUGUACUGUUUAAGAAGCUUUUAAACGAGCUCGCAAUGGAUCGGAGAGUGAAUGCGGUGCCACCUCGCGGCGUGGCUCGGACUCAGAGUUUCCCGAACCUGGCGGCAGGCGGCGGGGACGCGCCGGAGGACGUCGCUGCCGAGCCGCCGGCACCUCUGCGGCGGACCGGGUCGCUGAGCGAGGUGCCGCUGGGCGAGGGGGGCGGUGCCGGCGACAGCGCGCCGCUGGCCGCCGCCCCGCUGUCCGCCGGGUCGGCCACCGACCUGGCCGCCGUGCUGGCCGCGGUGGUCGAGCAGCGGCCGGAGCCGGGCCCCGACGCGGAGCCGGCGCCCGCCAGCCAGGUGCCCUCAGUCGACUCCGCUCUUGAGUUACUACUCCAAGCCAAGGUGACGCUCGAGUGGGACGUCAGCUCCGAAGGCAGCGGUCAAGUCGUUUGCGACGAUGCUGCUGAUGGCGGUGGCGUCGCUGAGGACGUCGAUGACGGUGGCGGCGGGGAGGAGGCGCAGUGGAGCCCGGAUCCUCCGGCGGCGGGGGAUGGGGAGCCAUCGGCCGACGCCGGCUUCCUCCGGCGACUGCAGCACGCCUGGCAGAACCGGCCCAGCCUGCUGCCGGGCGUGUGGCCGGAGCGAGCACCCCGCGGCCCACCGCCGAGCCGGCGCCGGCGCCGCGCCACCACCAGUGUGGCUGACCUGCUGCGCCUGAUGCGGGUGGCGGCGGCGGCGCGGCACAGUCCUCGGCGACCGGCCGGAGCGGCCCCGACCCGGAGACCCCGCCGGCGCCGGACCACCGCCCACUCACCGGCCGUGGUUACCUUCCAGACCGAGAACACGCGGUUGUGACGUGCUCUGAGCCUGGCGAAGACGAACUCCUUGUGACCCAGCCAGUAUACGGCUCCGACUCAAACGAUGUAUAGAGAGGAUAUGCAGACAUUUCUGUCUCAGCUCAAUCAAACUCGCUUUGUAUGUGUGCGUACGGCGCGUAUGAGCGUACGUACGCACACUUAGUGUCUUCCUUUCAGGAAGGUCGCUGUGAGAAUGUGACAGCUUAGCCAGGCGACCCCUGGGACAGCCUUGGAUUGAAAACAAUUUUCCCCGAAGCUUACAUACCUAUCGUAAAUACGUGAGCCGUGAGGGAGCUGCUCGCCUAGCUCACCGAGGAAACCACUGGAGAUGCAAAGGACUGCUAACGAGAAUAAAGAGACUGCCGACGUCA